GAUGAACGCUAGCGGCAGGCCUAAUACAUGCAAGUCGAGGGGCAGCGAUUCAGACCUAGUCUGAAGUCGGCGACCGGCGCACGGGUGCGUAACGCGUAUGCAACUUACCCUUCACAGGAGGAUAGCCCGGGGAAACCCGGAUUAAUACUUCAUGGUGUUAUAAUACGGCAUCGUAUAAUAACUAAAGAUUUAUUGGUGAAAGAUGGGCAUGCGUCCAAUUAGCUAGAUGGUGAGGUAACGGCUCACCAUGGCGAUGAUUGGUAGGGUUCUGAGAGGAUGAUCCCCCACACUGGUACUGAGACACGGACCAGACUCCUACGGGAGGCAGCAGUAGGGAAUAUUGGUCAAUGGGCGAGAGCCUGAACCAGCCAUGCCGCGUGCAGGAAGACGGCCUUCUGGGUUGUAAACUGCUUUUAUACGGGAAGAAAAAGUCCAUGCGUGGACAACUGACGGUACCGUACGAAUAAGCACCGGCUAACUCCGUGCCAGCCG
RNAcentral lists this ribosomal RNA (492 nucleotides) under uncultured bacterium. RNAcentral's name for it is "bacterial SSU rRNA". It matches the Rfam family "Bacterial small subunit ribosomal RNA", at positions 28 to 514 of the family's 1533-position model. The record is from RNAcentral.